UGCAACUCGCCUGCAUGAAGUCGGAAUUGCUAGUAAUCGCAGAUCAGCAUGCUGCGGUGAAUACGUUCCCGGGCCUUGUACACACCGCCCGUCACACCAUGGGAGUCGGUAACACCCAAAGUUGGUAGCCUAACCGCAAGGAGGGCGCCGCCUAAGGUGGGAUUGAUGACUGGGGUGAAGUCGUAACAAGGUAUC
RNAcentral lists this ribosomal RNA (195 nucleotides) under uncultured bacterium. Its description in RNAcentral is "partial 16S ribosomal RNA". It matches the Rfam family "Bacterial small subunit ribosomal RNA", at positions 1306 to 1500 of the family's 1533-position model. The record is from RNAcentral.